AGGGAACCUGAGAAACGGCUACCACAUCUAAGGAAG
Molecule: ribosomal RNA, 36 nt
Filed under: Pelobates cultripes (western spadefoot toad)
Lineage: Eukaryota; Metazoa; Chordata; Amphibia; Anura; Pelobatidae
Description: SSU_rRNA_eukarya
Source: RNAcentral